This is a non-coding RNA of Pluteus cervinus, 99 nucleotides long. NCBI's taxonomy places the organism in Eukaryota, Fungi, Basidiomycota, Agaricomycetes, Agaricales, Pluteaceae. The record is from the annotation of a GenBank genome assembly.
GCCCGCCUAGCUCAAUCGGAUAGAGCGUCAGACUUUUACGGCGGGCGUUUGUCCGUAAUUGUUAUCUGAAGGCUGCGAGUUCGACCCUCGCGGUGGGCU